RNAcentral lists this ribosomal RNA (252 nucleotides) under uncultured bacterium. RNAcentral describes it as "partial 16S ribosomal RNA". It matches the Rfam family "Bacterial small subunit ribosomal RNA", at positions 524 to 776 of the family's 1533-position model. The record is from RNAcentral.
UACGAAGGGGGCUAGCGUUGCUCGGAAUCACUGGGCGUAAAGGGUGCGUAGGCGGGUCUUUAAGUCAGGGGUGAAAUCCUGGAGCUCAACUCCAGAACUGCCUUUGAUACUGAGGAUCUUGAGUUCGGGAGAGGUGAGUGGAACUGCGAGUGUAGAGGUGAAAUUCGUAGAUAUUCGCAAGAACACCAGUGGCGAAGGCGGCUGACUGGUCCGGUUCUGACGCUGAGGCGCGAAAGCGUGGGAGCAAACAGG